This is a long non-coding RNA of Cicer arietinum (chickpea), 570 nucleotides long. RefSeq lists it as uncharacterized. Lineage: Eukaryota; Viridiplantae; Streptophyta; Magnoliopsida; Fabales; Fabaceae. The record is from RefSeq and is a predicted model, not a curated record.
AAUUUUGUCCCAUACAUAAUCACUAUACAUAGCUACAUAUUAUAUUUAUAUUUCAUUACAAUUAAACUCUUUGUUCGUAAGGAUGAAAAUGAAGUCUUUUAUUUUUGUGUUCUUUCUUUGUGCAUUAAUUCUUAUCUCUAUUACUGCGGAAAUUGAACCAACCAAAAAUGGAAAACAAUCUCGAGCUACAAAAGAAUUCAAAAUAGUUGAUGGAGGCUUGAGAUACGGCGGUGAACUUGUAAAAUCACGGAGGCCGCGGACCAAAAAACAAAAAAGAGGUAAAAAUAAAAGUCAAAACAAAGGUAAACCGAAAAUACAAGAAACUACUCAAAAUAAUACACUUUCAGAAAGUUGGGAUAGUCGAGGACGAAGAGGGGGAAGUCGGGGACAAAAAGCGAGAGCUAAGGGACGUCAGACCUAAAUAAAAGAAUUUUAGACAUUAGUAAAUAUCAGACUUAUAUAUGAGUAUAUUAAUGUAUUUGAUACAUUAUAUCACAUAAAAGCAUGAAAUCUAUGUUACUCCAUGCCUAAUCCAUAAAUAAAAGGAUGAAUAUCUUUCCUUAAUUACUA